RNAcentral lists this non-coding RNA (30 nucleotides) under Rattus norvegicus (Norway rat). Lineage: Eukaryota; Metazoa; Chordata; Mammalia; Rodentia; Muridae. The record is from RNAcentral.
UGAGCUAUGCUGCCCAGGGUGACUGACUCA